CUCGUGACUGCGUGCCUUUUGAAGAAUGAGCCUGCGAGUUUGCGGUGUGUUGCGAGGUUAACCCGUGUGGGGAAGCCGUAGCGAAAGCGAGUCCGAACAGGGCGUUUUAGUAGCACGCUCAAGACCCGAAGCGGAGUGAUCUAGCCAUGGGCAGGUUGAAGCGGAGGUAAGACUUCGUGGAGGACCGAACCCACCAGGGUUGAAAACCUGGGGGAUGACCUGUGGUUAGGGGUGAAAGGCCAAUCAAACUCCGUGAUAGCUGGUUCUCCCCGAAAUGCAUUUAGGUGCAGCGUCGUGUGUUUCUUGCCGGAGGUAGAGCACUGGAUAGGCGAUGGGCCCUACCGGGUUACUGACCUUAGCCAAACUCCGAAUGCCGGUAAGUGAGAGCACGGCAGUGAGACUGUGGGGGAUAAGCUCCAUGGUCGAGAGGGAAACAGCCCAGAGCAUCGACUAAGGCCCCUAAGCGUACGCUAAGUGGGAAAGGAUGUGGAGUCGCAGAGACAACCAGGAGGUUGGCUUAGAAGCAGCCACCCUUGAAAGAGUGCGUAAUAGCUCACUGGUCAAGUGAUUCCGCGCCGACAAUGUAGCGGGGCUCAAGCGUACCGCCGAAGUCGUGUCAUUGCAGCAUGUACUCCCAACGGAGGCUGUGAUGGGUAGGGGAGCGUCGUGUGCCGGGUGAAGCAGCCGCGGAAGCGAGUUGUGGACGGUUCACGAGUGAGAAUGCAGGCAUGAGUAGCGAUACACACGUGAGAAACGUGUGCGCCGAUUGACUAAGGGUUCCUGGGUCAAGCUGAUCUGCCCAGGGUAAGUCGGGACCUAAGGCGAGGCCGACAGGCGUAGUCGAUGGACAACCGGUUGAUAUUCCGGUACCCGCUUUGAAACGCCCAAUAUCGA
RNAcentral lists this non-coding RNA (894 nucleotides) under Streptomyces sp. NRRL F-6491. RNAcentral's name for it is "bacterial LSU rRNA". It matches the Rfam family "Bacterial large subunit ribosomal RNA", at positions 590 to 1468 of the family's 2925-position model. The record is from RNAcentral. Lineage: Bacteria; Bacillati; Actinomycetota; Actinomycetes; Kitasatosporales; Streptomycetaceae. RNAcentral also lists the same sequence under 1 other name.